Molecule: long non-coding RNA, 854 nt
Organism: Neofelis nebulosa (Clouded leopard)
Lineage: Eukaryota; Metazoa; Chordata; Mammalia; Carnivora; Felidae
Exons: 3
Source: RefSeq, a predicted model, not a curated record
CCUGGGCCACGCCCACCGCCGCCCCCCAGGUGGCCCUGGGUGGAUAUGCUCGUUGGAUCCCUGCGUGUGGGAUGCCUGGCCCCAGAGUCCCAAACAAUGCCGGGUCCCGAUUUCUGUUAAUGCUGCAAAUAUGUUUUGGGCAUCCCCAAGGGAAAUGGUGUCUGACCCUACUGAAAAAUUUGCAAGAGUAACUGUGCCUGCGGACUGUAUCUUCUGGCCUUUCCCCUUCCCUCGUUCCUUUACGGGCUUUACCUCCCACUCUCCCUCCCUCUUCCCACUCCAAAUUUACCGCGACCAAUUCCAGGCCUUUGCAUUGGUCUGGAUGACAGAGAAGUGAUCUGGGCCAACGUGUCAGAAGAGGGCCGAACUCUUCCUCCCAGGACUAGUUCCUCUCUUCUAAAGACCAAGAUCUCCAAAGCUACUUACUGCCCUGUGGAGAGGCAGGCCUGCCACAGAAUCACCCCAGACUGGUACCCUUUGGUCCCAUUGCACUUAGUAAAAUAAAGGGCAUUAUUGGCCCAGGUAUUCCUGCUGCCCCCAUGCACUCCACGCCCCUUCAACAACCACAAGCUUUAUUUGAGGAAGGGAACCUCCAGAUUCACUCAGCGAAGCCAACAGGGUAACCGGAUUUGCACUCCUAUCUCCGUGGUCUCCCCACGCCUAAUUUACCAAGCAGGCUUAGGGCCUACAGUGUAACCCACGGGAAGGAGAACAGAGCAGCGGCAGGUCCCCUCACCUGCUGGCGUGUCUGUGGUGACAACUUCCUGUCUUCACGUUAGGCUCUAGUGCUGCCAACCUCCAAGGAAGGGUAACCUGUGGGUGUCAAAGUCUCUGAUAUCCUAAGUGUGACUAAA